RNAcentral lists this long non-coding RNA (176 nucleotides) under Danio rerio (zebrafish). RNAcentral's name for it is "lncRNA (ENSDARG00000117465.1)". Lineage: Eukaryota; Metazoa; Chordata; Actinopteri; Cypriniformes; Danionidae. The record is from RNAcentral.
UUCACCCUCUUGAUCUGCUUUCUGUUCUCGUAGCAAAUAAAGUUUACCACUAAGAUUGCUUCCCGUUUCCAUGGCUUGCAUCCACGCACCGUGCGCUCGCCACCGAUCUGUAAAUGUGGAGGAGCGAAGGCAAGAGGCUCAUUACUAUCUCUGGCUGUCUCUGAGCCUGGAGGGAG